RNAcentral lists this ribosomal RNA (465 nucleotides) under Vreelandella stevensii. RNAcentral's name for it is "partial 16S ribosomal RNA". It matches the Rfam family "Bacterial small subunit ribosomal RNA", at positions 338 to 795 of the family's 1533-position model. Lineage: Bacteria; Pseudomonadati; Pseudomonadota; Gammaproteobacteria; Oceanospirillales; Halomonadaceae. The record is from RNAcentral.
CCUACGGGCGGCAGCAGUGGGGAAUAUUGGACAAUGGGGGCAACCCUGAUCCUGCCAUGCCGCGUGUGUGAAGAAGGCCCUCGGGUUGUAAAGCACUUUCAGUGAGGAAGAACGCCUGGUGGUUAAUACCCAUCAGGAAAGACAUCACUCACAGAAGAAGCACCGGCUAACUCCGUGCCAGCAGCCGCGGUAAUACGGAGGGUGCGAGCGUUAAUCGGAAUUACUGGGCGUAAAGCGCGCGUAGGUGGCUUGAUAAGCCGGUUGUGAAAGCCCCGGGCUCAACCUGGGAACGGCAUCCGGAACUGUCAAGCUAGAGUGCAGGAGAGGAAGGUAGAAUUCCCGGUGUAGCGGUGAAAUGCGUAGAGAUCGGGAGGAAUACCAGUGGCGAAGGCGGCCUUCUGGACUGACACUGACACUGAGGUGCGAAAGCGUGGGUAGCAAACAGGAUUAGAUACCCGAGUAGUC